RNAcentral lists this ribosomal RNA (253 nucleotides) under uncultured bacterium. RNAcentral's name for it is "partial 16S ribosomal RNA". It matches the Rfam family "Bacterial small subunit ribosomal RNA", at positions 524 to 776 of the family's 1533-position model. The record is from RNAcentral.
UACGUAGGGUGCAAGCGUUAAUCGGAAUUACUGGGCGUAAAGCGUGCGUAGACGGUUAUUUAAGUCGGGUGUGAAAGCCCCGGGCUCAACCUGGGAAUUGCAUUCGAGACUGAAUAGCUAGGGUACGGUAGAGGGAAGCGGAAUUUCCGGUGUAGCGGUGAAAUGCGUAGAUAUCGGAAGGAACAUCAGUGGCGAAGGCGGCUACCUGGACAAUUGCUGACGCUCAGGCACGAAAGCGUGGGGAGCAAAAGGG